GACGAACGCUGGCGGCGUGCUUAACACAUGCAAGUCGAACGGAAAGGCCCUGCUUUUGUGGGGUGCUCGAGUGGCGAACGGGUGAGUAACACGUGAGUAACCUGCCCUUGACUUUGGGAUAACUUCAGGAAACUGGGGCUAAUACCGGAUAGGAGCUCCUGCUGCAUGGUGGGGGUUGGAAAGUUUCGGCGGUUGGGGAUGGACUCGCGGCUUAUCAGCUUGUUGGUGGGGUAGUGGCUUACCAAGGCUUUGACGGGUAGCCGGCCUGAGAGGGUGACCGGCAACAUUGGGACUGAGAUACGGCCCAGACUCCUACGGGAGGCAGCAGUGGGGAAUAUUGCACAAUGGGCGGAAGCCUGAUGCAGCAACGCCGCGUGCGGGAUGCCGGCCUUCGGGUUGUAAACCGCUUUCGCCUGUGACGAAGCGUGAGUGACGGUAAUGGGUAAAGAAGCACCGGCUAACUACGUG
RNAcentral lists this ribosomal RNA (468 nucleotides) under uncultured bacterium. Its description in RNAcentral is "partial 16S ribosomal RNA". It matches the Rfam family "Bacterial small subunit ribosomal RNA", at positions 28 to 507 of the family's 1533-position model. The record is from RNAcentral.